UAAUACGAAGGUGGCAAGCGUUGUUCGGAUUUACUGGGCGUACAGGGUGCGUAGGCGGUCUGGUAAGCCCUUCGGGAAAGCCCUCGGCUCAACCGGGGAAGUUCGGAGGGUACUGCCGGGCUAGAGGACGGGAGAGGAGCGCGGAAUUCCCGGUGUAGCGGUGAAAUGCGUAGAGAUCGGGAGGAAGGCCGGUGGCGAAGGCGGCGCUCUGGAACGUUCCUGACGCUGAGGCACGAAAGCGUGGGGAGCAAACAGGAUUAGAUACCCUGGUAGUCCACGCCCUAAACGAUGGACACUAAGUGUCGGCGGGUUACCGCCGGUGCCGCAGCUAACGCAUUAAGUGUCCCGCCUGGGAAGUACGGCCGCAAGGUUGAAACUUAAAUGAAUUGACGG
This 393-nucleotide ribosomal RNA is filed under the name uncultured bacterium. RNAcentral's name for it is "bacterial SSU rRNA". It matches the Rfam family "Bacterial small subunit ribosomal RNA", at positions 521 to 916 of the family's 1533-position model. The record is from RNAcentral.